This is a long non-coding RNA of Stomoxys calcitrans (stable fly), 1314 nucleotides long. RefSeq lists it as uncharacterized. NCBI's taxonomy places the organism in Eukaryota, Metazoa, Arthropoda, Insecta, Diptera, Muscidae. The record is from RefSeq and is a predicted model, not a curated record. The transcript has 3 exons.
UGGACCCCGGAGGGUCCGAACUGCCUCAGCGGAGAAAGGGGACAUAGUGUGCUGGCGGGCGCUGGCUGUUGGCGUUAGAGCUCCGGCUGUGGCUCAGUCUGGGGCGCGGUUCUUGCCAACACACCAUGUCCAGAGACAGCUGACAAAAAAACUAAAUUGAAACCAGCUCUGGAUGGGAUAACAACACAGGGUCAUACUUACUUUACGGCAGGCACGUUAUUCGCCUUCUUACUCGCACUUACCGCUAUGGAUUCGCUCUUCAGGGGGCACUGAGACAUCCUACAGUGCCCUGGACGGCCCACCCCAACCAUGGUAUCCGUUGUCCAACAGUUUUGGAUACCCCAGAAUCGUCUCCCCGUUCCCCCUCUACAGCAUGGUGCACUACCCCUUCCUUACCUUAAUGAUCUACUCUUCCAUAGCGAAAUGAGAAUACUAAGCCAAGUGGAAUUUCAUUGCUACGUUAUAAAAGAAAAGUGCCUUUGUUGCGUCUGUCAGAUCGCCGGACUGGAAUGCUUCGACGACGGCUCCCCUGGAUAGCAAGACAAUUUGGUAGCGGAGGUGCCCUGGAUCUCCCUUUUUAUGUUCUUGCCAACCUGCAGGGACAACAUUAAACGACCAAAGGGUCUUUUAUUUAAAGUGUAUUCCUAGUGCCCUAGAAUGAGCUCACCCUACUUCCUAGGUUGUAUCGUCCGUUCAAUCACCGGACUGCAGAUAUGAAACCCAAUGUCUACCCUGUUUGCUGCCUAAGUUAUUCUGUUUUCUUUUUUUUUUUAUUUCUUAUAUUUUUAUUCCAGGAUGUGUGUCAAGCUAAGUUUCUCUGUGUAUCGUUCUAAGUAUUGAACAUAUAAAAAGGAGCAUACAUCGGCCUACCUUGGCACCUACGGGCUGCUGGUGCAAAAUUCCCUCGGGGACACUGGAGCAGAUGGCGGCGGUGGAACCAAUGAUGAAGCUGGAGAUGCUGAUGAGAUGAUGAUGUUGUUGAGGAUGGAAAUGUUGACGUUGCCGUGGAUGACGAUGGUUAAAAUUGCAGUAGAGGUGGGUAUUUAUUAUUUGACAAAAAGUUUUUGUUGUUCUGUUUAGUCUUUGCUAUGUUUUAUUCGUGGCUCAAAUUAACGUUCUUUUUCAAAGCUUUUUAUAUUUCACAGGAUCUUUUUUCUUUAGCAUUAAUUAGCACUAAUAAGUUUAUUUAGCUUUAAGUUGAUCUAAAGUAACUUCAGCUUUUUUACUACAAAAGCUAGUCUUUAUUCCUUUCACAAAAAAAAGGAACAUUUAUUUGCUUUUAAAUAAAAAACUUUAUGCCUUUGGCAUCACAUA